GGCAGGAUAGCUCAGUGGUAGAGCAGAGGAUUCAUAAGCCUAAGGUCGGGAGUUCAACUCUCCCUCCUGCUACCA
This 75-nucleotide transfer RNA is filed under the name Verrucomicrobiota bacterium. Its description in RNAcentral is "Verrucomicrobia bacterium (hydrothermal vent metagenome) tRNA-Met". It matches the Rfam family "tRNA". Rfam says of the family: Transfer RNA (tRNA) molecules are approximately 80 nucleotides in length. Their secondary structure includes four short double-helical elements and three loops (D, anti-codon, and T loops). Lineage: Bacteria; Pseudomonadati; Verrucomicrobiota. The record is from RNAcentral. RNAcentral also lists the same sequence under 2 other names.